Molecule: small nuclear RNA, 102 nt
Organism: Hippopotamus amphibius kiboko
Lineage: Eukaryota; Metazoa; Chordata; Mammalia; Artiodactyla; Hippopotamidae
Source: RefSeq, a predicted model, not a curated record
UCUGGGCUUGGCAACAGUAUAUACUAAAAUUGAAACAGUCAGAGAUUAGCAUGUCACCUGGGCAAGGGUGAAACACAAAUCUGUGAAGAAUUUCAUAUUUUA